This 219-nucleotide ribosomal RNA is filed under the name uncultured bacterium. RNAcentral describes it as "partial 16S ribosomal RNA". It matches the Rfam family "Bacterial small subunit ribosomal RNA", at positions 111 to 334 of the family's 1533-position model. The record is from RNAcentral.
UAAUGUAUGGGGAUCUGCCCGAUAGAGGGGAAUAACUACUGGAAACGGUGGCUAAUACCGCAUAAUGUCUACGGACCAAAGCAGGGGCUCUUCGGACCUUGCACUAUCGGAUGAACCCAUAUGGGAUUAGCUAGUAGGUGGGGUAAAGGCUCACCUAGGCGACGAUCUCUAGCUGGUCUGAGAGGAUGAUCAGCACACUGGGACUGAGACACGGCCCAG